ACUCCUACGGGUGGCUGCAGUAGGGAAUCUUCCGCAAUGGGCGAAAGCCUGACGGAGCAACGCCGCGUGAGUGAUGAAGGUCUUCGGAUCGUAAAACUCUGUUAUUAGGGAAGAACAAAUGUGUAAGUAACUAUGCACGUCUUGACGGUACCUAAUCAGAAAGCCACGGCUAACUACGUGCCAGCAGCCGCGGUAAUACGUAGGUGGCAAGCGUUAUCCGGAAUUAUUGGGCGUAAAGCGCGCGUAGGCGGUUUUUUAAGUCUGAUGUGAAAGCCCACGGCUCAACCGUGGAGGGUCAUUGGAAACUGGAAAACUUGAGUGCAGAAGAGGAAAGUGGAAUUCCAUGUGUAGCGGUGAAAUGCGCAGAGAUAUGGAGGAACACCAGUGGCGAAGGCGACUUUCUGGUCUGUAACUGACGCUGAUGUGCGAAAGCGUGGGGAUCAAACAGGAUUAGAUACCCUGGUAGUCCACGCCGUAAACGAUGAGUGCUAAGUGUUAGGGGGUUUCCGCCCCUUAGUGCUGCAGCUAACGCAUUAAGCACUCCGCCUGGGGAGUACGACCGCAAGGUUGARACUCAAAGGAAUUGACGGGGACCCGCACAAGCGGUGGAGCAUGUGGUUUAAUUCGAAGCAACGCGAAGAACCUUACCAAAUCUUGACAUCCUCUGACCCCUCUAGAGAUAGAGUUUUCCCCUUCGGGGGACAGAGUG
Molecule: ribosomal RNA, 709 nt
Filed under: uncultured bacterium
Lineage: Bacteria
Description: bacterial SSU rRNA
Rfam family: Bacterial small subunit ribosomal RNA
Source: RNAcentral